Long non-coding RNA from Tachysurus fulvidraco (yellow catfish), 942 nucleotides. RefSeq lists it as uncharacterized. The transcript is spliced from 3 exons. Lineage: Eukaryota; Metazoa; Chordata; Actinopteri; Siluriformes; Bagridae. The record is from RefSeq and is a predicted model, not a curated record.
CAGAUAAACAGGAGAUAGAAUUUCAAACAACAGCAGGGCAGGUUUAACUGUAACGGCAUUCACAUUCCUCAGAUAGAGACCCAGACUAGACGGCUAGUGAGAAUGAUGCACAUCCUGUCUGAAUGUGCACGUCCACCGUCCGUGCUCAGGAACAAAGUCUGAGGGUUCACAUUCGAUACAUCUGAUGAGGACACUCCGCCUUGAUUCAGCGCUUCUAGUAUCAUGCACCGGUUCUCUGGGAGGAAUUCACUGCAUUCCAAACCUAUUACUGGAUCGUUCCCAGUGCGUACAGCGUAAGAUGCUUACAAGGCUAAUCAAGCUCCUUGACAUCAGAGUGUGAGGCACCGAGAAACUCAUCAGCAGGGAUGUCAAAAGUACUGAAAGGUUGUACUUAAGUGGAAGAAUACAUAAUGUGUCAAAAUCUUAAUCGAUUACAACUGUCCAGACAAAAGUGUAUAAUAACCCUCUGUAUAACCCUCUGUAUAAUCUGUAUUUUUAUGCAAGACGCCCUUGGCACCUGGGAGCAUUAGGCACCUGCCUACCUUGGCCUAUAGUGCAAAGACUUCCCCUGCAAACGUGCAAACGUGUAUGGAAUGUGAAGUGUUCAAUCAUAUAUUCAGCAGCUCAAGGUCAUUUCAGAUGAUCAGAAAUGAUACUGUGUGCAUGUCAUUCCUGUAACGUAAACAUUCUUGAAGUCAAAGCAAAUGAUGGUGGUUUCAACCAUUGAACCUGGACCCUAUCUUAUAUCCACAUAUUAAAGUUUUCAAAAUAAUUCUGAAAAAGGUGUUUAAUAGUACAGUUUUGGUUUAUGCAUUUUAUUUCAUACAAAAUAGCUUCAAAACCAGGAAGGGAAAUAAAAAAUAUAGCUUUGUUUAAUCAAAGUGAAAGUGACCUCAUUUUUGUUAGUCAUGUACACAUUGUCAUUUCACUGAAAUCGUAUAG